GGCUCCUUGUUGGUUUAUAGAAUGAAUAUAGGGAGUCUGACCUGCCCGGUGAUGUAGGAAUUAAACGGCCGCAGUACCCUGACUGUGCAAAGGUAGCAUAAUCAUUUGCCUUUUAAUUGAAGGCUAGUAUGAAAGGUUUGACGUGGGCUAAGCUGUCUCUUUGAGGAUUAAAUAGAAAUUAAUUUUUAGGUGAAAAGGCCUAAAUAUAACUAUGGGACGAGAAGACCCCAUUGAGCUUUAAUUAAACUUUAAAGUAGGGAGAACAUGUAAGAUGUAUUGAACUAUUUGAAAGGUAUUUUUAGUGGGGGAAAACGGAGGAAUAAGUAAAGCUUCCUCUUUUAGAGAGAUUAGUUUAACCUAUUUACAGGUUAACUGAUUAUAUAUUGUUGAGUUGGCAGAUAAAAGAUUAGUAAAAGGAUCCGCUAAUAUAGAUGCGAUUAAGGGAGAAAGUUACCAUGGGGAUAACAGCGUAAUUUCUUCUGGAGAGUUCAAAUUGAAGGAAGGGUUUGCGACCUCGAUGUUGGAUUAAAACAUCCUGAAGGUGUAGCAGUUUUUAAGGGUUGGUCUGUUCGACCAUGAAAGUUUUACA
Molecule: ribosomal RNA, 589 nt
Filed under: Gorgoleptis spiralis
Lineage: Eukaryota; Metazoa; Mollusca; Gastropoda; Lepetellida; Lepetodrilidae
Description: partial 16S ribosomal RNA
Rfam family: Bacterial large subunit ribosomal RNA
Source: RNAcentral